UACGAAGGGGGCUAGCGUUGCUCGGAAUCACUGGGCGUAAAGCGCACGUAGGCGGACUCUUAAGUCGGGGGUGAAAGCCCGGGGCUCAACCUCGGAAUUGCCUUCGAUACUGGACAUCUUGAGUACGGGAGAGGUGAGUGGAACUCCGAGUGUAGAGGUGAAAUUCGUAGAUAUUCGGAAGAACACCAGUGGCGAAGGCGGCUCUCUGGACCGUAACUGACGCUGAGGCGCGAAAGCGUGGGGAGCAAACAGG
RNAcentral lists this ribosomal RNA (253 nucleotides) under uncultured bacterium. Its description in RNAcentral is "partial 16S ribosomal RNA". It matches the Rfam family "Bacterial small subunit ribosomal RNA", at positions 524 to 776 of the family's 1533-position model. The record is from RNAcentral.